GCUUGGAAGUGUGGACGCCAGUCUGCAUGGAGCCGACCUUGAAAUACCACCCUUUAAUGUUUGAUGUUCUAACGUUGACCCGUAAUCCGGGUUGCGGACAGUGUCUGGUGGGUAGUUUGACUGGGGCGGUCUCCUCCUAAAGAGUAACGGAGGAGCACGAAGGUUGGCUAAUCCUGGUCGGACAUCAGGAGGUUAGUGCAAUGGCAUAAGCCAGCUUGACUGCGAGCGUGACGGCGCGAGCAGGUGCGAAAGCAGGUCAUAGUGAUCCGGUGGUUCUGAAUGGAAGGGCCAUCGCUCAACGGAUAAAAGGUACUCCGGGGAUAACAGGCUGAUACCGCCCAAGAGUUCAUAUCGACGGCGGUGUUUGGCACCUCGAUGUCGGCUCAUCACAUCCUGGGGCUGAAGUAGGUCCCAAGGGUAUGGCUGUUCGCCAUUUAAAGUGGUACGCGAGCUGGGUUUAGAACGUCGUGAGACAGUUCGGUCCCUAUCUGCCGUGGGCGCUGGAGAACUGAGGGGGGCUGCUCCUAGUACGAGAGGACCGGAGUGGACGCAUCACUGGUGUUCGGGUUGUCAUGCCAAUGGCACUGCCCGGUAGCUAAAUGCGGAAGAGAUAAGUGCUGAAAGCAUCUAAGCACGAAACUUGCC
This 645-nucleotide ribosomal RNA is filed under the name Escherichia coli. RNAcentral describes it as "partial 23S ribosomal RNA". It matches the Rfam family "Bacterial large subunit ribosomal RNA", at positions 2154 to 2798 of the family's 2925-position model. The record is from RNAcentral. Lineage: Bacteria; Pseudomonadati; Pseudomonadota; Gammaproteobacteria; Enterobacterales; Enterobacteriaceae.